RNAcentral lists this transfer RNA (72 nucleotides) under Camelus bactrianus (Bactrian camel). It matches the Rfam family "tRNA". Rfam says of the family: Transfer RNA (tRNA) molecules are approximately 80 nucleotides in length. Their secondary structure includes four short double-helical elements and three loops (D, anti-codon, and T loops). The record is from Rfam by way of RNAcentral. RNAcentral also lists the same sequence under 1 other name. Lineage: Eukaryota; Metazoa; Chordata; Mammalia; Artiodactyla; Camelidae.
GGGUGCAUAGCUCAGUGGUAGAGUAUGUGCUUAGCACACACGAGGUCCUGGGUUCAAUCCCCAGCACCUCUA